Molecule: ribosomal RNA, 468 nt
Filed under: uncultured bacterium
Lineage: Bacteria
Description: partial 16S ribosomal RNA
Rfam family: Bacterial small subunit ribosomal RNA
Source: RNAcentral
GACGAACGCUGGCGGCGUGCUUAACACAUGCAAGUCGAACGGAAAGGCCCUGCUUUUGUGGGGUGCUCGAGUGGCGAACGGGUGAGUAACACGUGAGUAACCUGCCCUUGACUUUGGGAUAACUUCAGGAAACUGGGGCUAAUACCGGAUAGGAGCUCCUGCUGCAUGGUGGGGGUUGGAAAGUUUCGGCGGUUGGGGCUGGACUCGCGGCUUAUCAGCUUGUUGGUGGGGUAGUGGCUUACCAAGGCUUUGACGGGUAGCCGGCCUGAGAGGGUGACCGGCCACAUUGGGACUGAGAUACGGCCCAGACUCCUACGGGAGGCAGCAGUGGGGAAUAUUGCACAAUGGGCGGAAGCCUGAUGCAGCAACGCCGCGGGCGGGAUGACGGCCUGCGGGUUGUAAACCGCUUUCGGCGGUGACGAAGCGGGAGUGACGGUAACGGGUAAAGAAGCACCGGCUAACUACGUG